RNAcentral lists this transfer RNA (77 nucleotides) under Nitrospirota bacterium. Its description in RNAcentral is "Nitrospirae bacterium (groundwater metagenome) tRNA-Pro". It matches the Rfam family "tRNA". From Rfam's summary of the family: Transfer RNA (tRNA) molecules are approximately 80 nucleotides in length. Their secondary structure includes four short double-helical elements and three loops (D, anti-codon, and T loops). Lineage: Bacteria; Pseudomonadati; Nitrospirota. The record is from RNAcentral. RNAcentral also lists the same sequence under 2 other names.
CGGGGCGUAGCGCAGCCCGGUAGCGCGCCAGCUUCGGGAGCUGGAUGUCCGCGGUUCAAAUCCGCGCGCCCCGACCA